GAGUUUGAUCUUGGCUCAGAACGAACGCUGGCGGCAGGCCUAACACAUGCAAGUCGAACGAACCAGCAAUGGUGAGUGGCGCACGGGUGCGUAACGCGUGGGAAUCUACCCUUGACUACGGGACAACGUCGGGAAACUGACGCUAAUACCGUAUAAUGUCUCCGGACCAAAGAUUUAUCGGUCAAAGGGAUGAGCCCCGCGUUAGAUUAGGUAGUUGGUGGGGUAAUGGCCUACCAAGCCGACGAUCUAUAGCUGGUCUGAGAGGAUGAUCAGCCACACUGGUACUGAGACACGGACCAGACUCCUACGGGAGGCAGCAGUGAGGAAUAUUGGACAAUGGAGGCAACUCUGAUCCAGCCAUGCCGCGUGAGUGAAGAAGGCCUUCGGUUG
This 390-nucleotide ribosomal RNA is filed under the name uncultured Alphaproteobacteria bacterium. RNAcentral describes it as "bacterial SSU rRNA". It matches the Rfam family "Bacterial small subunit ribosomal RNA", at positions 9 to 425 of the family's 1533-position model. The record is from RNAcentral. Lineage: Bacteria; Pseudomonadati; Pseudomonadota; Alphaproteobacteria.